GUAGGUGGCAAGCGUUGUCCGGAAUUAUUUGGCGUAAAGCGCGCGCAGGUGGGUUCUUUAAGUCUGAUGUGAAAGCCCCCGGGCUCAACCGGGGAGGGUCAUUGGAAACUGGGGAACUUGAGUGCAGGAAAGGAAAGUGGAAUUCCACGUGUAGCGGUGAAAUGCGUAGAUAUGUGGAGGAACACCAGUGGCGAAGGCGACUUUCUGGCCUGUAACUGACACUGAGGCGCGAAAGCGUGGGGAGCAAACAGGAUUAGAUACCCUGGUAGUCCACGCCGUAAACGAUGAGUGCUAAGUGUUGGGGGGUUUCCGCCCCUCAGUGCUGCAGCUAACGCAUUAAGCACUCCGCCUGGGGAGUACGGUCGCAAAGACUG
This 374-nucleotide ribosomal RNA is filed under the name uncultured organism. RNAcentral's name for it is "partial 16S ribosomal RNA". It matches the Rfam family "Bacterial small subunit ribosomal RNA", at positions 527 to 896 of the family's 1533-position model. The record is from RNAcentral.